This 574-nucleotide ribosomal RNA is filed under the name uncultured archaeon. Its description in RNAcentral is "bacterial SSU rRNA". It matches the Rfam family "Archaeal small subunit ribosomal RNA", at positions 250 to 824 of the family's 1478-position model. The record is from RNAcentral.
CUACUAGCCUACGACGGGUACGGGUUGUGAGAGCAAGAGCCCGGAGAUGGAUUCUGAGACACGAAUCCAGGCCCUACGGGGUGCAGCAGGCGCGAAAACUUUACAAUGCCGGCAACGGCGAUAAGGGGACCUCGAGUGCCAGGUUACAAAUCUGGCUGUCGUGAUGCCUAAAAAGCAUUGCAUAGCAAGGGCCGGGCAAGACCGGUGCCAGCCGCCGCGGUAACACCGGCGGCUCGAGUGGUAACCGUUAUUAUUGGGUCUAAAGGGUCUGUAGCCGGCCGGAUAAGUCUCUUGAGAAAUCCAGCAGCUCAACUGUUGGGCUUUCAGGAGAUACUGUUCGGCUCGAGGCCGGGAGAGGUGAGAGGUACUUCAGGGGUAGGGGUGAAAUCUUGUAAUCCUUGAAGGACCACCAGUGGCGAAGGCGUCUCACCAGAACGGACCUGACGGCAAGGGACGAAAGCUAGGGGCACGAACCGGAUUAGAUACCCGGGUAGUCCUAGCCGUAAACGAUACUCGCUAGGUGUCGGCCACGGUGCGACCGUUGUCGGUGCCGUAGGGAAGCCGUGAAGCGAGC